Molecule: transfer RNA, 73 nt
Filed under: Rattus norvegicus (Norway rat)
Lineage: Eukaryota; Metazoa; Chordata; Mammalia; Rodentia; Muridae
Rfam family: tRNA
About the family: Transfer RNA (tRNA) molecules are approximately 80 nucleotides in length. Their secondary structure includes four short double-helical elements and three loops (D, anti-codon, and T loops).
Source: Rfam by way of RNAcentral
GGAGACAUGGCUCAGCGGUUAAAAGCACUGGCCACUCUUCCAGAGGUCCUAGGUUGGAUUCCCAGUAUCCCUA